UACAGAGGGUGCAAGCGUUGCUCGGAAUCAUUGGGCGUAAAGGGUAGGUAGGUGGUCUCAUUUGUCUGGGGUGAAAGCCUCGAGCUUAACUCGAGGAGUGCCCCGGAAACGGUGAGACUGGAGUCUUGGAGAGGGUCGUGGAAUUCCCGGUGUAGCGGUGAAAUGCGUAGAGAUCGGGAGGAACACCAGAGGCGAAGGCGGCGACCUGGACCACAACUGACGCUGAGGCGCGAAAGCUAGGGGAGCAAACGGG
RNAcentral lists this ribosomal RNA (253 nucleotides) under uncultured bacterium. RNAcentral's name for it is "partial 16S ribosomal RNA". It matches the Rfam family "Bacterial small subunit ribosomal RNA", at positions 524 to 776 of the family's 1533-position model. The record is from RNAcentral.